CAGAAGAAUCACUUGAGCCCGGGAGACAGGUUGCAGCUAGCCGAGAUCAUGCCAGUGCACUCCAGCCUGGGUAACAGAGUGAGACUCUGCCUCAGUGGAACAUGUGGUUGAUCUUGAAAUACGUUUGGUAUGCAAAUGAGAAGAAUGUAUAUUCUGUGGUUGAGUGUUCUUUAGGUUUCUAUUAGGUGCAAUUGGUCAAGUAUUGAAUUUAAGUCCAAAGUUAAUUUCUUUUUUAGUUUUCUGCCUUAAUGAUCUGUGUAAUGUUAUCAGUAGGCAUUGAAGUCCCCUAACUAUUGUUGUGUGGCUAAGUGUUUUCACAGGUCUAGAAGUGUCUGUUUUAUUAACCUGGGUGAGCCAAUGUUGGGUGCAUAUAUAUUUAGGAUAGUUAAGGCUUCUUGUUGAAUUGAACUCCUUAUCGUUAUGUAAUGCCCUUUUUUGUCCUUUUUUACUAUUGUUGGCUUAAAGCCUGUUUUAUCUGUUUUAGGAAUAGUGACCCCUGCUCUUUUUUGUGUUUUGUUUGUGUGAUCUUUCUUCAACCCUUUACUUUGAAUGUAAUGGUGUUGUUACAUGUGAAAUGGGUCUCUUGAAGACAGCAGACAGAUGGGUUUUGUUUUUUGUUUUUUUUUGUUUUUGUAAUCCAACUUGCCACUCUGCGACUUUUAAGUGGUGUCUUUAAACCAUUUGUCAUUCAGGGUUAAUGUUGACCUGUGAGCUUUUCACCCUAUUGUGAAAUUGUUAGCUGGUAUUUUGUACUUUCUAUUGUGUGGUUGUUUUAUAGGGUCUGUGUGCUAUGUACUUAAGUAUGUUAUAUAGCAGGUAUCAUUCUUUCAUUUCCAUGUUUAGAACUCCCUUAGGCAUCUCUUGUAAGAGUGGUCUAGUGGUAAUGAAUUCUCUUGGCACUUGCUUCUCUGGAAAAAUGUUUUUGUUUUUUUUUCUCCUUCACUCCUGAAGCUCAGUUUGGAAGGAUAUGAAUCUUUUGAUUAUAAUUUAUUUUCUUUAAGAAUUCUGAAAAUAGACCCCCCAAUCUCUCCUGGCUUGUAAGGUUUCUGCUGAGAAGUCUGCUCUUAUCCUGAUGGGGCUCCCUUUGUAUGUGAACUGGCCUUUUUCUCUAGUGCCUUUUAGGACUUUUUCUUUAAUGGUGACCUUGGACAGUCUGGUGAGUAUAUGCCUUGGUAAUGUUCAUUUUUUUAUAGUAUCUGCAGGUGCUCUCUGGCUUUAUUGUACCUAGAUGUCUACCUUUCUAGCAAGAGUCAAUAAAUUUUCUUGAAUUAUUCCAUCAAAUAUAUUUUCCAGGUUGUUUUCUUUUUCUCCUUUUCUCUAGGGAAUACCAGUAAUUUGUAGGUUUGAUCACUUUACAUAAUCUCAUAUCUCUGAAAGGCUUUCUUCACUUUUAAAAAAUCUUUUUCUUUAUUUUUGUCUGACUGCAUUAGUUCAAAAGAUCAGUUUUCAAGCUCUGAAAUUAUGUUUUCUACUUGGUCCAGUCUAUUGAUAAAAGCUUUCAAUUGUAUUUUGAAAUUCCUUAAGUGAGUUUUUUUAAAUUCCAGAAGUUCUGAUUAAUUUCUUAAGAUGUUUAUCUCUUCCUUCAUUUCCUGGGUUGAUUUAGAAGUUUCUUUUUGUUGAUUUCAACCUUGAAUCUCAUUGCGCUUUCUUGCAACCCAUGCUUUGAAUUCUUUGUCAUUUCUGAGUUUUCAUUUUGGUAGAAAGCGUUGCCAGAGAGCUAGUGUGAUCCUUUGGUGGUGUCACUACAUUCAGAUUUCUCAUGGUGCCCGAAUUCUUGCACUGGUCCUUCUCAUCUGGAGAUGCUAGCACUUCUAGUUUUUGUAAUUAUUUUUCUUUGAGUAGAAUUUUUUUUCCUUUCCUUUCCUAUGAUGAUAUUAUUAUUAUUAUAUUUCUUCUUCUUCUUCUUCCUCUUCCUCCUCCUCCUCCUUCUCCUUCUUUCUUCUUCUUUCCCUUUCCCUCCUCCCUAGGGGGUGUGACUGUAGAGCAUGCUAGAUGGCAUCUUUUGGCUUUGCUUCUGUAGCCCUAUGCACUUCGGUCAGAAAGUUUUAUAUUGGGUGUGUGGUUUGACCUACAAGCCAGUAGAUGGCACCAUGGGUAAGAGCUGGCUGUGGCCAGUGCUGCUGGCUAUAUACUUGAUCCUUGUUUAUGGAGAGGAGCUUUCUGUUGCCUCAGGCAAUGGACUGAUUCCCAGAGUAUACAUUAAUCUGAGCUCCCCCGAUCCUCAGCCUUAGGGGUAGGGGUGUUGGGGGUACAACAUGGGUGGAGCCAGAUGGGGAAAGUCCCCCAAUAUUGUCCUUCUCUCAGUUCAGAUUUGGGAAAAUGCCUGCAGCUUUUCCCUGUGUCUUUCCCUCACAAAGUCUCCAACUCUCUCCUCUAAUUAGUUCCAGGGCUUGGGAGAAGCCCCAGGUUGCUUGAAUCCCCGGGUUGCUUGAAUCCCCAGUGGAAAGGAAGAACUGGAACUGUGGUUUGUGCCUUCCUUAUUGCCUCUGAACUAUUUUUAACUGCAAAGGUAUGAAAGAUGUUACUACAAACUUUGUCUUACGAUGACUGAGUUUGCUAGUUCUGAAACAUCACUGGUAGGAUGUUAAGAUGAUUUAGUCAUGGUGCUUAGUGGAACUAAUUGGAGAAGCAGUUUUUAGAAAGCCUGUUUUUGAUACUUUCUUAUUUAACAUGCAGUAGUUAGUAGCUGACUUAAGAAUCUCUUUGGGCCAAGACUAGAGCAAGGUCAAUGAAGUGCAAAAUUUAAGGGAAUGCUAAAAAUUGCAAUAAUUAAAAUAAUUUUUAAUGCAAUAUUUUAACAAUAAAAAUUAAUGCGAAAUCUAUGAUGUAUAUAAUAUCAACAUUUUAAAUAAAGACAAGACCUGAUGGGGCUGGAUUAAGGUAAGGGGAGUAAAGCCAUGUUACACAGAUACAAAAACAUUCAGUAAUCAUAGUGCUUCCCUCACCUCACCUGGCCCUGCUCUUACUCCUGCUAGUACCAUUAUUACCAGUGGGUCUUAGUUCUUAGAGCUCCCAAGAUGGUGGCGGACCACUCCCAAGAUGGUGGCUGGCCACUCCCAAGAUGGUGGCGGGCCACUCCCAAGAUGGCAGCAAGCCUUUUGUUCUCUCACCUGGGGUUCUUGGCCUCACCGAUUCCAAGUAAUGGAACCUUGGGCUAUGCAGUGAGUGUUAUAGCUAUAGAAGCCGUGGGUCACAGAGAACCAUGGAACCCAGUGACUAGUGUUCAGCUCGAUUAGGACGAACUUAGCCGCGCAGGAACAAUGGCGAGCCUCUAGCCCAAUCAGGAGCAGCAAUGGGCGCCUCGAUGGAUCAGAAGUGCAGAGGACACCCUGCCAGAUCCAGAGGGGUGGAAGUCAGCAAUGGGUCUCGGAGGGGGGCGAUCGGCAGUGGUGGAUGGUGAGUGAAAGCUCAGCUCAAGUCGGAACAAACACAAACCAGAAGAGUGUGCAAUUGCAAGAUUUAAUAGAGUGAAAACAGAGCUCCCAUACAAUGGGAGGGGACCCAAAGGGGGUUGCCACUGCUGGCUCCAAUGCUGGGUUUAUAUCCGGAUCAUUGUCCCUCCCGCUGUGCUCUCGGGAUAGAUGAUUGACUAUUUCUUUACCUCCUGCUUUUAGUCUAAUUGGUAUUUUAGUGAGCUCCCUUUACUACCUGAUGGGUUGGGUGUGAGCUGAGUUACCAGCCCCAUGUUUAAAGGUGGGCGCUGUCACCUUCCCCAGCUAGGCUUAGGAAUUCUUAGUCAACUUAGGAAAUCCAGCUAGUCCUGUCUCUCACCAUGACUUCUUCCUUCCUCGUGAGAAUAUUAUCAGGCUUAAUUAGAUAAAUUCUCCAAAGAGCCUUGACCAUCCUCACAACUCUUAGAUAGAUAAAAGCAACAUUUUGCAACUCAAAGCAUCCCCUGAAUGUAAAUAUCUUUGCUUAGUCAAUACAUAUGGAGUCUGACCUCUAGAAAAUUCAGAUAAGACAAGGUGGGCUGUUUCCACUUAAAGUAGAGUUCUCGGUCAUUUUUCUUUCUGUCAUUUUCUUGCUGAGAUGCUACCAUUCCAGCAGCUCCGCUCGAGUUGUUUGGCCUACAGUCUAGGGAAGAAGUGGUGGUUAUGCACAAUGCCCAGCACUCCAAUUCCACCACCUUUGGUUUUUCUAAUUUGAGACACACAGAUUUUGAAAAUGGAUGUUCUAGGUGUUUUUCAAGCUAUAGAUCAUGAUUUAUCAGCGAGUUGUAAAAUAAAGUGAGUGGGUUGUGACUAA
Chlorocebus sabaeus (green monkey) is the source of this 4245-nucleotide non-coding RNA. Lineage: Eukaryota; Metazoa; Chordata; Mammalia; Primates; Cercopithecidae. The record is from RefSeq and is a predicted model, not a curated record.